GAGGUGGGAGGGUUGUUUGAGUCUAGGAGGUUGAGGCUGCAGUGAGCUGUGAUCACACCACUGCAUUCCAGCCUGAGUGACAGAGCAAGACCUUGUC
This is a microRNA precursor of Gorilla gorilla gorilla (western lowland gorilla), 97 nucleotides long. Lineage: Eukaryota; Metazoa; Chordata; Mammalia; Primates; Hominidae. The record is from Ensembl.